Molecule: long non-coding RNA, 2695 nt
Organism: Aedes aegypti (yellow fever mosquito)
Lineage: Eukaryota; Metazoa; Arthropoda; Insecta; Diptera; Culicidae
Exons: 3
Source: RefSeq, a predicted model, not a curated record
UACAUCAUUUAGCAGUUUUUUACUAACUUGAUGUGAAAACAGUAUCCUGUACGAAUAUGAAAUUGGGCCACUGUAUAUACAGCUGUACGGUUACUUGGGGAGUCAUCGACACCUCCGACGACAUUGUCCAACGACUGAAGACGGGAUUGCCAUCGACGGAAGGAACUCAUUAGUAAAGUGCUCCCCACCUAGCCGCAGAUGGCAACAUCCAACCCAGCUAGUAGAACGGAAACAGUACUCUAGCAUCAGCAUUUCAUCACCUGACAACAUAGGUAGCAUUCACGUGGACAACCACCGAACGAGACCACUAAACGAAGCCACAGCCCUUUGGACCCGCGGCAUCAGCAGUUCUUCCACAGCAACAGCAUAAGCAUUGCAGUAGGUAGUGAGGUUUGAUCGUAAUCAAUAAUUGAAUAAAGGUUCAGUUCGUUUUAGGCAGUAGGCAGUAUCGAAUAAGUUCUUUUUUAAAACUUAGUCUGGGUGACACCCUUCUUCACUGGCGCAGUCGGCAGUUCUAGCGUGGAGUAGUUAAAGUGUAGUGAAAAGUGUUCUUAUCCGAAAUCAUCGGCGGCUUACCGAAGAGCAAAGGAGGAAACACCUAAACUACAGAUUCUAGUGCACCGGCGGUUCACCAAGACACCAAAAUCAUCUUUAACGAAGCUUCACACCUGCUAGAAGACAUCGAACCAUCCGAGGGAAUAUCGGACAUCGAACCAUCCGAGGGAAUAUCGGACAUCGAACCAUCCGAGGGAAUAUCGGACAAUCGAACCAUCCGAGGGAAUAUCGGACAAUUUAACCAUCCGAGGGAACAUCGGAUAAAACCCAUCCAUACAGCUACCAACAUGAAACCACGUGAAAUUUUAUAUGCAGCCAAAAAUGGACAGGAGAGACCGAUAGAAAUGGAACGCCUUGUUGAACUUCGUGACAAGUUGUACGACGAAGUUCAAGUACAACUAACCAAGACACAAAACUCACAGAAUCUGUACCACAACAGGAAGCGAGAGGAUCCGCCAAAACUAAAACAAAACGAAUUGGCAUACAACCGCAUCCAAGGAGUGAAGUCGAAAAUUAAGGACCGCUACCAACAAGUGCGAGUACGAUCUAACCGGAAACACACGUACAAAGAUAUCCUAAGUCGAAAAUUGCAUAAAGAAAAACUGCGACGAAUCCGAAAGUAACACCACAGAAUCUCUAAUGUGUUUUUUUCAUUUGUUUUCUCUUUUUAGAUGACGUUUAUUUGGAAUAUCCUGAUAACAACCACAUUCCUUACUCAGCUAUCCCAACCACAAUCCAUCCACGUCAUUAAUCUCAAACAAAACCCCGGUCUUUUAACCAUAGAAACUGGCAACAGUUUUAUAAAAAUAGGCAAUCACAGAUUGUUUCAUAUCCUAGAACUGGAUAAUUACGAACCUAUUUUUAGAAAAUUGCUUGCUAAUAUCCAAGGAAUACGGACAUUCUCAAAUUUUACUGAUAUGUUUGAAAUCUUAGAAUCGAAAUAUGGAACCGUUCACAGUUUAUUCAAUAAUCUUCGGCCAAAGCAAAGAAAUAAAAGAGGAUUAUUUAAUUUUCUCGGAACUGGAAUAAAAAGAAUUACAGGAAAUAUGGACCAUAACGACUAUGAACAAAUUUCGAAAAAUAUUUUUGAACUGCAGAUCAAGAACAAAAGACUUAUUAACGAAAACAACGAACAGCUUAAAAUUAAUCUACAACUCCAAAAUAGAAUCAAUUCCAUUAUCAAUCGUUUAAAUCAACAACAGAGUGAAAUUACUAAAAACAUUAUAUCAGCUAGAUUUGAAAACGAAACCAACAAAAACUUUAAAUUAUUUAGAGAAAUUUUGAAAAUCAAUUACAACUUAGACAACCUUAAAUCACAUUUAGAAGACAUUUUUGAAUCAAUUCAGUUAGCAAGAACUAACAUUAUUCCCAAACAAAUACUUUCAAUUGAAGAGUUAGGAUUUGUUUCAGAUAUAUUAGAAGAACGAAACAUUAGGACGAACAGUUUAGAUCAAAUUUAUGAAUAUUUAGAAUUGUCAGCAUUUUUUUCCUAGAACCUCUUCCAGUAGUAGAUAAAAUUUUAAAACUUCCUGCUAAUGCUGCUUUGCAAAGCGACAACAGAACAUAUUUCAUCAAGAAGGAUUGCCUGCGAAUCGAAAGGACAAGGCUGUGCAAUCUAAGCAGCCUAGAGGACAUAACCGGCGACCUAUGCUACUCAAACCUACUAAGAGGACUAUCAGGAAACUGUACUUUCGUAAAAUUCUAUCAAUCAACGGAGAUCAAAGCGAUCAUGGACAAUUACCUUGUCGCUAAAAACAUCAAUAACACAGAAAUCGAAUCGAAUUGUGGUCUUUCAAAACGAAACAUAUCUGGAACGUAUUUGAUAGAGUUCCACAAUUGCUCUGUCAUAAUAAAUGGCACCAAGUUCUCAAAUAUCGAAGCAAACAAAUCAGAACCGACAUUUGUUAUGCCAUUAAAUGGUUUACAUAUCAAUGAACAGACCCUGGAAAUCCAGAAUAAUAAAGAAGAAAUUCACAUCCAUAAUAGACAUCGGAUUGAAGCAUUAACUAAGGAACACAAAAUUCAGACAUACACAUCUCUAAGUAUGUCGACCGUAUGUUUUCUUCUAAGUAUCGUUGCAGGUCUUUCAUGGAUUUCGAGAAAACGCAGACAGAUAUCUCUUCAUAUUGGAGCAUCCAUG